ACUCAAAUGAAUUGACGGGGACCCGCACAAGCGGUGGAGCGUGUGGUUUAAUUCGACACUAAGCGAAGAACCUUACCAGGGUUUGACAUGUAGCUGCAAGCGCACGGAAACGUGUGACCUUCGAGGGUGCUACACAGGUGUUGCACGGUUGUCGUCAGCUCGUGUUGUGAAAUGUACGGUUCAGUCCGCCAACGAGCGCAACCCCUAUCGUAUGUUGGAUUUCCUCUCAUACGAGACUGCCGGUGUUAAACCGGAGGAAGGUGGGGAUGACGUCAAAUCAGCGUGACUCUUACAUCCUGGGCGACACACGCGCUACAAUGGGAAGUAACAAUGGGUUGCCAAGCCGUAAGGCGGAGCUAAUCCCACCAAACCUUCCCCCAGUUCAGAUUGAGGGCUGCAAUUCGCCCUCAUGAAGUCGGAAUCGCUAGUAACGGCUGGUCAGCCACACAGCCGUGAAUACGUUCUCGGGUCUUGCACACACCGCCCGU
This 488-nucleotide ribosomal RNA is filed under the name uncultured bacterium. Its description in RNAcentral is "partial 16S ribosomal RNA". It matches the Rfam family "Bacterial small subunit ribosomal RNA", at positions 899 to 1397 of the family's 1533-position model. The record is from RNAcentral.